CCAAAACGAACUGAUCAAGAGCUUUUUUUUUAAUAUGAUAUAGACUCUAGUCUUGUCUAUUUUUGAAGGUCCGGUUACUCAUGUCCCCUACUAUAGACUCCUUUAAUUUAAUUGUAAAAUAAAGGCGUGCGAAGUACGUUUUAGAUUUGAAUCCGGCGCAGCAAAUGUUUUAACGCUAUAACAUAUUUUCUCUUUUUACCUACU
RNAcentral lists this long non-coding RNA (204 nucleotides) under Mytilus galloprovincialis (Mediterranean mussel). The record is from RNAcentral. Lineage: Eukaryota; Metazoa; Mollusca; Bivalvia; Mytilida; Mytilidae.